This 478-nucleotide ribosomal RNA is filed under the name uncultured bacterium. Its description in RNAcentral is "partial 16S ribosomal RNA". It matches the Rfam family "Bacterial small subunit ribosomal RNA", at positions 28 to 523 of the family's 1533-position model. The record is from RNAcentral.
GACGAACGCUGGCGGCGUGCUUAACACAUGCAAGUCGAGCGGAAAGGCCCUUCGGGGUACUCGAGCGGCGAACGGGUGAGUAACACGUGAGUAAUCUGCCCCUCACUCAGGGAUAACCACGGGAAGCUGUGGCUAAUACCUGAUAUGACCACGUCUCGCAUGGGGUGUGGUGGAAAGCUUUUGCGGUGGGGGAUGUGCUCGCGGCCUAUCAGCUUGUUGGUGAGGUAGUGGCUCACCAAGGCUUCGACGGGUAGCCGGCCUGAGAGGGUGACCGGCCACACUGGGACUGAGACACGGCCCAGACUCCUACGGGAGGCAGCAGUGGGGAAUAUUGGACAAUGGGCGAAAGCCUGAUCCAGCAACGCCGCGUGAGGGAUGACGGCCUUCGGGUUGUAAACCUCUUUCACCUCUGACGAAGCGCAAGUGACGGUAAGGGGAGAAGAAGGACCGGCCAACUACGUGCCAGCAGCCGCAGUAA